RNAcentral lists this long non-coding RNA (917 nucleotides) under Mus musculus (house mouse). RNAcentral describes it as "RIKEN cDNA 2810001G20 gene (2810001G20Rik)". Lineage: Eukaryota; Metazoa; Chordata; Mammalia; Rodentia; Muridae. The record is from RNAcentral.
CUCUUGUCACUUCCGGCUCCCAGCGCUCUCUGAAAGCUAGGCUAGCGGAGCUUAUAAAGAUCGGAUGGUAGAGCUUUCGCUUUCCCCUCAGACGCUCCAGAUGUAGACUAGGUGAGCUCUCUGCCCGGGAGGGACAGAUCGUCGGAGCCCGCGGGCGGAAGGCGAGUCGUGGCGGGGUUAGGGCUCUGGAGUCCGGCCCGGCCCGGCAGUCCCCUGAGCUUGAAAGAAUUGAAUGCCUCCUCAGUUGUCACCCAGGCUGAUCUUGCGCAGGCUGUUGGCUUCUCGUGGAGUUUGAGUUUUUGGACAGUGACGUAGGAUGGCUGUGUUGCCCAGACAAGAGAAGAAAAAGAAGAACCUGUUGCUUAAGUUCUGGAGACAUUUUUGUUGCUGUUGUUUACUGAGCAUGUGAAGGGAGGUCUUUCUGCCUUGCCUGUUUUAUUUUCAGGAAGCAGGGUUGGGAAUGAACCCUGGCGCUGAGACAGCCAUCCUGAAGCUAGAACAAGCCGGAAGAACAAAUAAACCCCAGUUUCUUGUAUCCUGGCUGAUGUAUUUAGUGAAUGGCCUAGGGGGCUGAACAACCUGCAUUAAAGCUUGCUGCAGAUACAUGAGACAGAGUCAACUGAGCUUGGGGCAGCUCUCCAAGACGGAUGCUGUGCCCAAUUUAAAAAGACAAAGUCAAAUAGGAUGAGGUUUGGGUUUGAACUUUUGUUUUUUUUUUCAGAUGACCUCAGUAUGUAGCCUACGACUUUUUUUAAACUGGUGUUUCUCCUGCCUGGGCCCUCUGAAUACUAGAAAUGCAGGUAUGCACCAUGGGGUUGAGGUGUUAACCAUUUCUAAAAUAAAAUAAACCUGUAAGGCUUUAAGUAACACUAAAAAUAAAAAUAAAAGGGCAUUUUGUACAAAAAAAAAAAAAAAAA